RNAcentral lists this ribosomal RNA (920 nucleotides) under uncultured archaeon. RNAcentral describes it as "bacterial SSU rRNA". It matches the Rfam family "Archaeal small subunit ribosomal RNA", at positions 4 to 923 of the family's 1478-position model. The record is from RNAcentral.
CCGGUUGAUCCUGCCAGAGGUUACUGCUAUCGGAGUUCGAUUAAGCCAUGCGAGUCUAAAGGUUUCUUCGGAAACCUUGGCGGACUGCUCAGUAACACGUGGAUAACCUACCCUUGGGACUGGAAUAACCCCGGGAAACUGGGGAUAAUACCGGAUAGAUCAGGGAUGCUGGAAUGCACCUUGAUCCAAAGCUCCGGCGCCCAAGGAUGGGUCUGCGGCCUAUCAGGUUGUAGUGGGUGUAACGUACCUACUAGCCGACGACGGGUACGGGUUGUGAGAGCAAGAGCCCGGAGAUGGAUUCUGAGACACGAAUCCAGGCCCUACGGGGUGCAGCAGGCGCGAAACCUUUACAAUGUGCGAAAGCAUGAUAAGGGAACUCCGAGUGCCAGUAUCUAAUACUGGCUGUCCUUGUGCCUAAAACGCACAAGAUAGCAAGGGCCGGGUAAGACCGGUGCCAGCCGCCGCGGUAACACCGGCGGCCCGAGUGGUAGCCGCUAUUAUUGGGUCUAAAGGGUCCGUAGCCGGUUCGAUAAGUCCUCUGGGAAAUCUGGUUGCUUAACAAUCAGACUGCCAAGGGAUACUGUCGAACUUGAGACCGGGAGAGGUAAGAGGUACUUCAGGGGUAGGAGUGAAAUCUUGUAAUCCCUGGGGGACCAUCUGUGGCGAAGGCGUCUUACCAGAACGGGUCUGACGGUGAGGGACGAAAGCUGGGGGCGCAAACCGGAUUAGAUACCCGGGUAGUCCCAGCCGUAAACGAUGCUCGCUAUGUGUCAGGUACGGUGUGACCGUAUCUGGUGCCGUAGGGAAGCCGUGAAGCGAGCCACCUGGGAAGUACGGUCGCAAGACUGAAACUUAAAGGAAUUGGCGGGGGAGCACUACAACGGGUGGAGCCUGCGGUUUAAUUGGAGUCAACGCCGGGG